CCCAGCCGCCCUGUGCUCCGCAGCCCCAAAGCUCGGUCUUGCUCCCUCCCAGCUUCUCAAAGGUGCAGUGAGUGCCCCCCAGCCGGCAUGGUCCCCUGCGACCAGAUCGCAAGCCCGCGAUGGGUGUCAAGGACCCCUUGGGGUCUUCCCUGACACCCAAUGGGGCCUUGUGGGGUGUGCCAGGAAGCUGACAACUUGCGGUCCCACAAAGUCCGGAGGACCAAGUAUGAAGCUCUGCCACUUCGGACUCUUCCAGCCCUCUUAGGUUGUCCUGGAACCCAUCAGUUUGAUUCAAUUACAGAAAUAUUUACCUACUAAGUGCCAGGCUCUUAAAAACCUGCCAUAUACAAUUUGUAAAUCAAUGGAUGUGUAACUGAUGUGAAUCUGCAAUCUGUGUAUGGGGUGAAGGUGGGAGUUCAUAACCCACUUGAAUCAAAGUGUGGAAUAUGAUAUGUCAAGAAAUUUGUAAUGUUUUGAACAACCCACAAUAAAAAAUUAAAAAAAAAAAAAAAAAAAAAAAACCUGCCAUAUAGCUGGGUGCAAUGGCCCUGUAAAUCCCAGUGACUGGAGGCUGAGGCAGGAGAAUUGCAAGUUGGAGGCCAGCCUCAGAAUGUAGCCAGACCCUAUUUCAAAAAAGAAAAACAACAAGGGAUGUAGCUCAGUGGUAAAGCACCCCUGGGUUCAAUUCCAGUAUCGAAGCAAAAAAACAAACAAAC
RNAcentral lists this long non-coding RNA (716 nucleotides) under Marmota monax (woodchuck). Lineage: Eukaryota; Metazoa; Chordata; Mammalia; Rodentia; Sciuridae. The record is from RNAcentral.